GACGUAGGGCGCGAGCGUUGUCCGGAUUUAUUGGGCGUAAAGAGCUCGUAGGCGGCUUGUCGCGUCGUUCGUGAAACCUGCAGCUCAACUGCAGGCUUGCGGUCGAUACGGGCAGGCUAGAGUUCGGUAGGGGAGACUGGAAUUCCUGGUGUAGCGGUGGAAAUGACGCAGAUAUCAGGAGGAACACCGGUGGCGAAGGCGGGUCUCUGGGCCGAUACUGACGCUGAGGAGCGAAAGCGUGGGGAGCGAACAGG
Molecule: ribosomal RNA, 254 nt
Filed under: uncultured bacterium
Lineage: Bacteria
Description: partial 16S ribosomal RNA
Rfam family: Bacterial small subunit ribosomal RNA
Source: RNAcentral